AUUGAACGCUGGCGGAAUGCUUUACACAUGCAAGUCGAGCGGCAGCGCGGCCUUCGGGCUGGCGGCGAGCGGCGAACGGGUGAGUAAUGCAUCGGAACAUGCCCAGUCGUGGGGGAUAACACUUCGAAAGAAGUGCUAAUACCGCAUACGUCCUGAGGGGGAAAGCGGGGGAUCGCAAGACCUCGCGCGAUUGGAGUGGCCGAUGUCAGAUUAGCUCGUUGGUGGGGUAAAGGCCUACCAAGGCGACGAUCUGUAGCUGAUCUGAGAGGAUGAUCAGCCACACUGGAACGGAGACACGGCCCAGACCCCUGCGGGAGGCAGCAGUGGGGAAUUUUGGACAAUGGGGGAAACCCUGACCCAGCCACCCCGAGUGAGUGAAGAAGGCCUUCGGUUGGAAAAGCUCUUUCGUGAGGGAAGAACAGGUGUGUACUAAAAUAGUCCCUUAUUGACGGUACCUAAUAAAGAAGCCCCGGCUAACUACGUG
Molecule: ribosomal RNA, 484 nt
Filed under: uncultured bacterium
Lineage: Bacteria
Description: partial 16S ribosomal RNA
Rfam family: Bacterial small subunit ribosomal RNA
Source: RNAcentral